UGUUACCAUACCAUUCUGAGGGCACCAGAACUCUUCUGGUCUCAGAAGCUAAACAGAGUUGGGCCUGGUUAGUACUUGUACGGGAGAAAACUGGAUUAUAC
RNAcentral lists this ribosomal RNA (101 nucleotides) under Nannospalax galili (Upper Galilee mountains blind mole rat). Lineage: Eukaryota; Metazoa; Chordata; Mammalia; Rodentia; Spalacidae. The record is from RNAcentral.